This 1445-nucleotide ribosomal RNA is filed under the name Camponotus spanis. RNAcentral describes it as "partial 28S ribosomal RNA". It matches the Rfam family "Eukaryotic large subunit ribosomal RNA", at positions 364 to 1413 of the family's 3401-position model. The record is from RNAcentral. Lineage: Eukaryota; Metazoa; Arthropoda; Insecta; Hymenoptera; Formicidae.
UUGAAAAGAACUUUGAAGAGAGAGUUCAAGAGUACGUGAAACCGUUCAGGGGUAAACCUAAGAAACCCAAAAGAUCGAACGGGGAGAUUCAUCGUCAGCGGCGCUGGCUUCGCGUCGGUGGGCGAUGUCCCGCGGAGUCCUCGCGGCUCGCGCGCGGGCACGCUACCGUGCGCCGAUGUCCGGCUGUCGUCGUCGUGCACUUCUCCCCAAGUAGAACGUCGCGACCCGCUGGGUGUCGGUCUACGGCUCGGGUGCGGUGACUGUCGCGUCGCCGGUAAAACGGCACGCGACAAACCCCCGGUCGCCCGGCCGGCUGCUCGGCGGUACGCGCAAGGUAUCAGGCCGCACUUCUACACGGUGCGUCGAGGCCGUCGCAAGCGCGCGCCACGGUACUCGGAGGUUACGGACUUUGCGCCGUCCCCGGUCCUGGCCCGCUGUUGGUUAAAGUACGGAUCACCUUCGACAGGCCUGCGAACGUCCCUCUCACGGGGGACGGAUACCGGUCGGCGACGCUACUGCUUUGGGUACUCUUAGGACCCGUCUUGAAACACGGACCAAGGAGUCUAACAUGUACGCGAGUCAUUGGGACUUGUCGCGAGACCUAAAGGCGUAAUGAAAGUGAAGGUCGGCCCUGGCCGUCGACCGAGGGAGGAUGGGCCGCGUCGCGAUGCGGCCUCGCACUCCCGGGGCGUCUCGUUCUCAACGCGAGAAGAGGCGCACCCAGAGCGUACACGUUGGGACCCGAAAGAUGGUGAACUAUGCCUGGUCAGGACGAAGUCAGGGGAAACCCUGAUGGAGGUCCGUAGCGAUUCUGACGUGCAAAUCGAUCGUCGGAACUGGGUAUAGGGGCGAAAGACUAAUCGAACCAUCUAGUAGCUGGUUCCCUCCGAAGUUUCCCUCAGGAUAGCUGGCACUCGGCCGUUCCGCACGGAACGCGCGCGAGUCUCAUCUGGUAAAGCGAAUGAUUAGAGGCCUUGGGGCCGAAACGACCUCAACCUAUUCUCAAACUUUAAAUGGGUGAGAUCUCUGGCUUUCUUGAAUUAUGAAGCCACGAGCAUCUCGGAUCAGAGUGCCAAGUGGGCCAUUUUUGGUAAGCAGAACUGGCGCUGUGGGAUGAACCAAACGCAGAGUUAAGGCGCCCAACUCGACGCUCAUGGGACACCAUGAAAGGCGUUGGUUGCUUAAGACAGCAGGACGGUGGCCAUGGAAGUCGGAAUCCGCUAAGGAGUGUGUAACAACUCACCUGCCGAAGCAACUAGCCCUGAAAAUGGAUGGCGCUGAAGCGUCGAGCCUAUACUCUGCCGUCAGCGGCAAGUGGGGCGGCGACGGGAGCGUUGCGCGCGUCGGACCGCGUUUGCGGCUCUCUCGCGAGGCAAUCGUCUCCCUCGAGUCGUCACGAAGCCCUGACGAGUAGGAGGGUCGCGACGGUGAGCGCAGAAGGGUCU